Molecule: ribosomal RNA, 497 nt
Filed under: uncultured bacterium
Lineage: Bacteria
Description: partial 16S ribosomal RNA
Rfam family: Bacterial small subunit ribosomal RNA
Source: RNAcentral
GACGAACGCUGGCGGCGUGCCUAAUACAUGCAAGUAGAACGCUGAAGCGAGGAGCUUGCUCUUCUUGGAUGAGUUGCGAACGGGUGAGUAACGCGUAGGUAACCUGCCUUGUAGCGGGGGAUAACUAUUGGAAACGAUAGCUAAUACCGCAUAACAAUGGAUGACCCAUGUCAUUUAUUUGAAAGGGGCAAAUGCUCCACUACAAGAUGGACCUGCGUUGUAUUAGCUAGUAGGUGAGGUAACGGCUCACCUAGGCGACGAUACAUAGCCGACCUGAGAGGGUGAUCGGCCACACUGGGACUGAGACACGGCCCAGACUCCUACGGGAGGCAGCAGUAGGGAAUCUUCGGCAAUGGGGGCAACCCUGACCGAGCAACGCCGCGGGAGGGAAGAAGGGUUUCGGAUCGUAAAGCUCUGUUGUAAGUCAAGAACGAGUGUGAGAGUGGAAAGUUCACAAUGUGACGGUAGCUUACCAGAAAGGGACGGCUAACUACGUG